This 432-nucleotide ribosomal RNA is filed under the name Triticum aestivum (bread wheat). RNAcentral's name for it is "partial small subunit ribosomal RNA". Lineage: Eukaryota; Viridiplantae; Streptophyta; Magnoliopsida; Poales; Poaceae. The record is from RNAcentral.
CACGACAAAGAGGGAGGUAAUCCUAGACCUCCACGAUAUAUGCGUGAAUUCCAAGAUGCUAUCGAUGACUACGAACUUCAUGAUCUAGGAUUUAUCGGUGACCGUUUUACCUGGUUCAGAGGGAGAAUAAAAGAAAGGCUUGAUCGUGGUCUCAUAAAUGAUGCAUGGGCUAACCUGUUUCCUCAUGCAGCCGUAGAGAACUUGGAAUUCAAUCAUUCAGACCAUCGACCCUUGCUGGUAGACUCGGACUACCACAGUCGUGCUGCUAGGUCAGGUAAUAACACCCAACCGAAGAGGUUUGAGGCAAGUUGGUUACGGGAGGAUAGUUUUAAUGAUAAAGUGGAAAAAGCAUGGAAUGAUAUUACUGCAGAUCCCGAGGCAAACAAUAUCUAUGAAAAAUUAAACAAAAUGCAUGAUCAAUUCCAUGACUAG